Molecule: ribosomal RNA, 253 nt
Filed under: uncultured bacterium
Lineage: Bacteria
Description: partial 16S ribosomal RNA
Rfam family: Bacterial small subunit ribosomal RNA
Source: RNAcentral
UACAGAGGUGGCAAGCGUUGUUCGGAAUUACUGGGCGUAAAGGGCUCGUAGGCGGCCAACUAAGUCAUACGUGAAAUCCCUCAGCUUAACUGGGGAACUGCGUGUGAUACUGGAUGGCUUGGAUUUGGGAGAGGGAUGCGGAAUUCCAGGUGUAGCGGUGAAAUGCGUAGAUAUCUGGAGGAACACCGGUGGCGAAGGCGGCAUCCUGGACCGGUAUUGACGCUGAGGAGCGAAAGCCAGGGGAGCAAACGGG